RNAcentral lists this long non-coding RNA (202 nucleotides) under Mytilus galloprovincialis (Mediterranean mussel). Lineage: Eukaryota; Metazoa; Mollusca; Bivalvia; Mytilida; Mytilidae. The record is from RNAcentral.
UUCGAUCCAAAUGUAACGAAGAACCGGGGUCUGGUCCUGAACAAAUUUCACCCUUCGUUUUUUUUCUACCUAUUACGGUUACGGUGUUGGAACGAUAACAAGGUUUUUGGGUUUCGGAGGGAUUACUCCGAACCGACAAAAUAUUUUGACUCACAGGGUGAGUUCCGGAUAGUUAUUCAUGACACCGAUACAAAGUGUGAAC